GGUUAAGCUACUAAGGGCGCACGGAGGAUGCCUAGGCACCAGGAGCCGAUGAAGGACGCGGCGAACAGCGAAAUGCCUCGGGGAGCCGUAAGCAGGCUUUGAUCCGGGGAUGUCCGAAUGGGGAAACCCGGCUGCGGUAAUGCGCAGUCACGUUACAGUGAAUACAUAGCUGUAAUCGAGGCAUACCAGGGGAACUGAAACAUCUAAGUACCCUGAGGAAGAGAAAACAAUAGUGAUUCCGUCAGUAGCGGCGAGCGAACGCGGAUUAGCCCAAACCAAGGUGCUUGCAUCUUGGGGUUGUAGGACGUCUCACAUGGAGUUACAAAUGGGUUGGGUAGACGAAGCGGUCUGGAAAGGCCGGCCAGAGAAGGUAAAAGCCCUGUAAUCGAAAGUCAAUCCACUCCGAGACGGAUCCUGAGUACGGCGGGACACGUGAAACCCCGUCGGAAUCCGGCAGGACCAUCUGCCAAGGCUAAAUACUCCCUGGUGACCGAUAGCGAAGCAGUACCGUGAGGGAAAGGUGAAAAGCACCCCGGAAGGGGAGUGAAAUAGAACCUGAAACCGUGCGCUUACAAAAAGUCAGAGCCCUCUAUAUGGGUGAUGGCGUGCCUUUUGUAGAAUGAACCGGCGAGUUAUGAUCACGUGCAAGGUUAAGGUGGAGAGCCGGAGCCGCAGCGAAAGCGAGUCUGAAUAGGGCGCCAUAGUACGUGGUUGUAGACCCGAAACCGGGUGAUCUACCCCUGUCCAGGGUGAAGGUGCGGUAACACGCACUGGAGGCCCGAACCCACGCACGUUGAAAAGUGCGGGGAUGAGGUGGGGGUAGCGGAGAAAUUCCAAUCGAACUCGGAGAUAGCUGGUUCUCCCCGAAAUAGCUUUAGGGCUAGCCUCGGUAUGAGCGUCGUGGAGGUAGAGCACUGAUUGGGUGCGGGGCCCGCAAGGGUUACCAAGUCCAGUCAAACUCCGAAUGCCACAGACGUAUGACCGGGAGUCAGACAGUGAGUGCUAAGAUCCAUUGUCAAGAGGGAAACAGCCCAGAUCAUCAGCUAAGGUCCCCAAGUGUGUGUUAAGUGGGAAAGGAUGUGGAGUUGCACAGACAACCAGGAUGUUGGCUUAGAAGCAGCCACCAUUUAAAGAGUGCGUAAUAGCUCACUGGUCGAGUGACUCUGCGCCGAAAAUGUAACGGGGCUAAACACACCACCGAAGCUAUGGCANNNNNNNNNNNNNNNNNNNNNNNNNNNNNNNNNNNNNNNNNNNNNNNNNNNNNNNNNNNNNNNNNNNNNNNNNNNNNNNNNNNNNNNNNNNNNNNNNNNNNNNNNNNNNNNNNNNNNNNNNNNNNNNNNNNNNNNNNNNNNNNNNNNNNNUUGGGUAGGGGAGCGUUGAAUACGGGUUGAAGGUAUACCGUAAGGAGUGCUGGACUGUAUUCAAGUGAGAAUGCCGGUAUGAGUAACGAAAAGAUCAGUGAGAAUCUGAUCCGCCGAAAGCCUAAGGGUUCCUGAGGAAGGCUCGUCCGCUCAGGGUAAGUCGGGACCUAACGCGAGGCCGAAAGGCGUAGUGGAUGGACAACAGGUUGAAAUUCCUGUACCACCGUAGCCGUUAUGAGCGAUGGAGUGACGCAGAAGGGUAGUGACGCGGGCUGAUGGAUGCCCGUCCAAGCAGUGAGGCUGGUGAGUAGGCAAAUCCGCUCAUCGUAAGGCUAGGCUGUGAUGGGGAGCGAAAAUUACAGUAGCGAAGGUCAUGAGCUCCAGCUGCCAAGAAAAGCUUCUAGCCAGGCGAAGGUGCCCGUACCGCAAACCGACACAGGUAGGCGAGCAGAGCAUGCUAAGGCGCGCGGAAGAACUCUCGUUAAGGAACUCGGCAAAAUGACCCCGUAACUUCGGGAGAAGGGGUGCCUCGGUAGGGUGAAUAGCCCGAGGGGGCCGCAGUGAAAAGGCCCAAGCGACUGUUUAGCAAAAACACAGGUCUGUGCGAAGCCGUAAGGCGAAGUAUACGGGCUGACGCCUGCCCGGUGCUGGAAGGUUAAGGGGAGCGGUUAGGGGCAACCCGAAGCUGUGAACCGAAGCCCCAGUAAACGGCGGCCGUAACUAUAACGGUCCUAAGGUAGCGAAAUUCCUUGUCAGGUAAAUUCUGACCCGCACGAAUGGCGUAACGACUUGGGCGCUGUCUCAACGAGAGAUCCGGUGAAAUUUUACUACCUGUGAAGAUGCAGGUUACCCGCGACAAGACGGAAAGACCCCAUGGAGCUUUACUGCAGCUUGAUAUUGGACUUUGGUACGAUCUGUACAGGAUAGGUGGGAGCCUAAGAAGCCGGAGCGCCAGCUUCGGUGGAGGCGCCGUUGGGAUACCACCCUGAUCGUAUCGGAGUUCUAACCUGGCAUCGUGAAUCCGGUGCAGGGACCGUGUCAGGCGGGCAGUUUGACUGGGGCGGUCGCCUCCUAAAGUGUAACGGAGGCGCCCCAAGGUUCCCUCAGAAUGGUUGGAAAUCAUUCGUAGAGUGCAAAGGCAUAAGGGAGCUUGACUGCGAGACCUACAAGUCGAGCAGGGACGAAAGUCGGGCUUAGUGAUCCGGUGGUACCGCAUGGAAGGGCCAUCGCUCAACGGAUAAAAGCUACCCUGGGGAUAACAGGCUUAUCUCCCCCAAGAGUCCACAUCGACGGGGAGGUUUGGCACCUCGAUGUCGGCUCAUCGCAUCCUGGGGCUGAAGUAGGUCCCAAGGGUUGGGCUGUUCGCCCAUUAAAGCGGUACGCGAGCUGGGUUCAGAACGUCGUGAGACAGUUCGGUCCCUAUCUGUCGUGGGCGUAGGAAAUUUGAGAGGAGCUGUCCUUAGUACGAGAGGACCGGGAUGGACGUACCGCUGGUGUACCAGUUGUUCCGCCAGGAGCACCGCUGGGUAGCUAUGUACGGACGGGAUAAACGCUGAAAGCAUCUAAGCGUGAAGCCCCCCUCAAGAUGAGAUUUCCCAGUAUGUAAGACCCCUGGUAGACGACCAGGUUGAUAGGUCCGGGGUGGAAGUGCAGUAAUGCAUGCAGCUGACGGAUACUAAUCGGUCGAGGGCUUAUCCUA
This 3060-nucleotide ribosomal RNA is filed under the name Paenibacillus sp. 598K. RNAcentral's name for it is "Bacterial large subunit ribosomal RNA". It matches the Rfam family "Bacterial large subunit ribosomal RNA". Lineage: Bacteria; Bacillati; Bacillota; Bacilli; Caryophanales; Paenibacillaceae. The record is from Rfam by way of RNAcentral.